CCUUUUGCCAUGCGUGCAGGGCGGCUGGGCCGGACAUGGAGGCAGGAACCGGCACCGGGGCCUCGAUAGCCCAUGAGAGGGGCCGGGACAGCGGUGGGACCGGUGCGAGCGGCUCCUCGCAGAAGGAUGGCUUGGAGUAAAAAAAGAGCCUGGCGUUCCAGAUGAAGGUGACAUAGGGAGUAGAUCUCUUUGGAGAUGGCCCUUACAUGAAGGGGUAGCUUGCACGUCUCUGCUGCUGUGUGCUAAUUGUUCCUCAUGCCUGCCAGGUGAUGUUAUAGCUCUUGACAAGUCCUACAGAAGGCAGUGAGACAGCAAGGUUCCUCUCGGUGUUUAUGCUGAGAACUUCUUGUCUGAGGAAGAAAGAACCCAGCAAAACCUGUGUGUGAGCUUGGAGACCAGUGUUUGUACCUAAAACAUUAAGAAAUGGUAACAGUUACACUCUUGAUGACACGUGUAUUAAAAUUCUAUCUCAAAACAAA
Molecule: long non-coding RNA, 479 nt
Organism: Melopsittacus undulatus (budgerigar)
Lineage: Eukaryota; Metazoa; Chordata; Aves; Psittaciformes; Psittaculidae
Exons: 6
Source: RefSeq, a predicted model, not a curated record